This 497-nucleotide ribosomal RNA is filed under the name uncultured bacterium. Its description in RNAcentral is "partial 16S ribosomal RNA". It matches the Rfam family "Bacterial small subunit ribosomal RNA", at positions 28 to 507 of the family's 1533-position model. The record is from RNAcentral.
GAUGAACGCUGGCGGCGUGCCUAAUACAUGCAAGUCGAGCGAACAGACGAGGAGCUUGCUCCUCUGACGUUAGCGGCGGACGGGUGAGUAACACGUGGAUAAACUACCUAUAAGACUGGGAUAACUUCGGGAAACCGGAGCUAAUACCGGAUAAUAUAUUGAACCGCAUGGUUCAAUAGUGAAAGACGGUUUUGCUGUCACUUAUAGAUGGAUCCGCGCCGCAUUAGCUAGUUGGUAAGGUAACGGCUUACCAAGGCAACGAUGCGUAGCCGACCUGAGAGGGUGAUCGGCCACACUGGAACUGAGACACGGUCCAGACUCCUACGGGAGGCAGCAGUAGGGAAUCUUCCGCAAUGGGCGAAAGCCUGACGGAGCAACGCCGCGGGAGUGAUGAAGGUCUUCGGAUCGUAAAACUCUGUUAUUAGGGAAGAACAAAUGUGUAAGUAACUAUGCACGUCUUGACGGUACCUAAUCAGAAAGCCACGGCUAACUACGUG